GAAAUGCGAUAAGUAAUGUGAAUUGCAGAAUUCCGUGAAUCAUCGAAUCUUUGAACGCAGCUUGCGCUCCUUGGUAUUCCUUGGAGCAUGCCUGUUUGAGUAUCAUGAAAUCUUCAAAGUAAAUCUUUUGUUAACUCAAUUGGUUUCUACUUUGGUAUUGGAGGUCUUUGCAGCUUCACACCUGCUCCUCUUUGUUCAUUAGCUGGAUCUCAGUGUUAUGCUUGGUUCCACUCGGCGUGAUAAGUUAUCUAUCGCUGAGGACACUGUAAAAGGUGGCCAAGGUAAAUGCAGAUGAACCGCUUCUAAUAGUCCAUUGACUUGGACAAUACUUUUAUGAUCUGAUCUCAAAUCAGGUAGGACUACCCGCUGAACUUAAGC
Molecule: unclassified non-coding RNA, 378 nt
Filed under: plant metagenome
Description: partial contains 5.8S ribosomal RNA, internal transcribed spacer 2, and large subunit ribosomal RNA
Rfam family: 5.8S ribosomal RNA (bases 1-105)
Source: RNAcentral